AUUGACUAAAACAACUCUUGUGGGUUUCCUGUUGUUACACAUUCACAUAUUAUUCCUAUGAUAUAUGAUCACUGUUAAUGAGGUAAUCUAUAUAACUUUUUUGUGUUUUUGGUUCAUUUAUUUAUUGUUUCGACAAUCGAUUCAUUGACUGAGUUUCUUAUGGUUUUCCGUAGCUUCGUGGCACCAGAAUUUGAUUUAUACUCUGAUCCAGAUUUAGUUAUGUGAGAAGAAAGAUCUUAGGACCUAGAUAGAAGGACUAACAAAACGAUUCACAUUCUUGCUUGGAAUCCGUGUUGAGUGACUUGAGUCUCUGAUGCGAAAUUCAAACAGUGAAUUCAGAGUGGUUAUAUCACAGAUGAAUGAACAAGACUGUGCAUUCAGAUCUCAUAUCUUUACCGUUGGAAAAAGUGGAAAAAUUGUCUUAGGAUGGAUAACAAAGUCUACAUCCAUGCAGUUAUUCAGCUCUGUGGAGUUAGAGGCAAUAAUAAGACUCUUUCCAAGGCAUCUGCCGGCAACCAAGAAAAGAGCCUAACACAGCCAUAGUCCUUGCUCACAAUUUCGAUUUCAUUGUAAGCAAAACUAUCCAGAAUGUUAAAUAUUUUUGUUAAAAUUAUAUUUCUAGACAUUAGAAAUCACUGUGGUUUUUACACAAUACAAUUAUAAACAUGGGGGAUUACAUGAGAGCCUUACUUAUAUCUGUUGUUACAUAGCUUGGGCUAGAUGAUUAAACAAUGGUGAAUGAGACACUCUCAUUAACCACAACCACCAGUUUUUAUUGUUUUCUGUGUCGUCUGUUUUCUUUGUUCUGGUUCAAAGAAGGAAGUGCAAGUUUGGGUUUUCAGUUUCUCACCGAUCAUCCAAUUAAUAUUGCGGCAUACAGUUUUAUUAUUGGCAGCAGAUUUUUUUAUUUUCUUUUUCCCUUCUUUUUCUGGAUCAUCAGUUUGGUUUGGUUGCCAUUUCUGAUUUGUUUUGGUUUGUUUGAUUAAUUUUUGGAUCAUAUUGUUAAGUAUGGCCAGGUCGCUAUUUAACAUCGCUCUCAAAUACCACACAGCCGAUAGAGAAGAAGUUCCCUACAAUCUAUGGGAUUAACAUUGCGGAAAAUAAAUUUUUCUUAUGAUUUGUCUUACUGGUGCUGUUAUGUCACGGCGACAAACACUCUUACCUCAGCAACGAUCAUAAGACUUGACAUGGUGCAGCUGCAGAGAACACAUACACUCCGAUUAACUUAGCUCAUAAUACAUAUUGGAACUUGGCUGUAGCGAGUCAUGAAAAGUUUUUGACCACAUGAUCUAGAUUUGGGAUCCGCAUGUCACCUGUGUGGAUAAACACACAAUUCCUACAUGCGAGAUUUUGCCGGGAAUGGGAACUCCUUUCGGUUUCACCAAUGAGAAAUGGAUAGUAGAGUCUAUAGGAGAGGUUGGUAUCCGAUAUGAUAACAACUACGCAUUGGACUGCCCUGAUUAAGAGAAGGACAGGCUGAAACACGUGACAAAGCUAAGGGAAGGUGCGAGUGGAACAGGUGGUUUUAGAUGUAUGUGGUUUUGGUGCUAAAGGAUUGAAAUAAAUGGCCAUUAAAUAGCGUUUGAGCUCUUCAACUUUGGUAUGAUCCUAUUGUUCUAAAAUGAUCUUAUGGAAUUUCCUGUAAUCUCUUUAUGUUUUCUUUACGAUGGCUUUGUCUCCGGGAAGUCGUUACACUUCGCUGGCUUUGGACUCCCAUAAUCAUUUGGGCUUUGUAUCGGUUCAUCCGA
This is a long non-coding RNA of Brassica rapa (field mustard), 1748 nucleotides long. RefSeq lists it as uncharacterized. NCBI's taxonomy places the organism in Eukaryota, Viridiplantae, Streptophyta, Magnoliopsida, Brassicales, Brassicaceae. The record is from RefSeq and is a predicted model, not a curated record.